RNAcentral lists this ribosomal RNA (367 nucleotides) under uncultured organism. RNAcentral describes it as "bacterial SSU rRNA". It matches the Rfam family "Bacterial small subunit ribosomal RNA", at positions 526 to 896 of the family's 1533-position model. The record is from RNAcentral.
CGUAGGUGGCAAGCGUUGUCCGGAUUUAUUGGGUUUAAAGGGUGCGUAGGCGGUCUUGUAAGUCAGUGGUGAAAUACGGCAGCUUAACUGUCGAGGUGCCAUUGAUACUGCAGGACUUGAGUACAGACGAGGUAGGCGGAAUUGACGGUGUAGCGGUGAAAUGCUUAGAUAUCGUCAAGAACACCGAUAGCGAAGGCAGCUUACUAGACUGUAACUGACGCUGAUGCACGAAAGUGUGGGGAUCAAACAGGAUUAGAUACCCUGGUAGUCCACACUGUAAACGAUGAUUACUCGAUGUUGGCGAUACACAGCCAGCGUCUUAGCGAAAGCGAUAAGUAAUCCACUGGGGAGUACGCCGGCAACGGUG